UUCUAAAAAGGUGAAGGUGGGGCAGUAGAAAAAUAUCUGAAAGGUUGUAGUAAGUGUUAAUUGAGCCAAUGUGUGUAGGUGGCCUAGCCUAGUGCUGAACACUAGGAGGUCUUGAAUUCUAGUCACUUGUCAUUUCGUUUAACAGCUUGCUCCACCUCCUCCUUCUGGCUUCCCCAGCCCCCACUUUACACCCUCCACCAUCAUCUCUCCACCCUCCCUAUAGCAAAGCUGCUCUCCUGCAGAGCUGUCACUUUAUAAAGGAUAUGAUAAAUGCUUCACACCACCGUGAUAAUAGUCUCUUAAAUUUCAAUGGGUUCUACACAUUCUAGAAGACUUUGACUAGAUCUUCAAAACAUUUCUGUGAGGAAGGAAGGGUUCCCUUGUUAAAAAGGAAGAAAUCACUCUUCAGAGGUUGGGUGACCUAUCUAGGGCCACGCAGCUAAUGGAAGGCAGAGGAAGACUAGAAUUCAAGUCAUCUGCUGUCUCCUUCCUAGAAUUACACAAAAGUAGAGACGUUCGAAAUACCAGUCUUAGCGGAAAUGAAGGGCAGUGGCCUAUAUCAGACACCUCUGGCAGCAGGGCUGGACCAGCACCCGACCAGCUGCUGCAUUCUUACACAGCUGGUACUCAGUGGUCACAGUGAAGCCUUGAUGGUGUGACUUUAACUAAAUGAAUAAAGAAGAUGGAGUCACAAGCAAAGUCCAGCACUCAGGACUUGGAAGAAAAAGGAACCUGAAGAGACAAAGACAGAGGCUGGCCCCUGCCCCUCACUUCCCACCUCCCUGCUUUCUGCUGCAAAAGGAAUCUAUGCGGAGUCCCGGGGGCCUGGCAAUAGAGCAAGUGUGUUCUGGAAGGGUAGACCAGCAGAAUGAUGAGUGGCAAGCCGAAUUAAGGGCAGGUCCUGCCAGUCCAGGGAAACAAAUGGGAAAAGUCAGACUGAAGGAAAAGAAGAGUGUUUCUGAAUGGCCCAAUGGACUGGAGCUGACAAACCACGGGAAGUGAUUUAAAAGUGCCUCCAGGUAAAACCAGAGAGAAACUUAACUACUAUCACCAGUUAGCAUAGAAUUUUGACCUUUCAUCUAAAUUAUUUGGAGCAAAUGUACAGGGGAAUUUAAUUUUAGAAAACGGGCAAAGAGAGUCAGAGCUAGACUUCCUCCUCCAACACACACAGCACAGGUGGAGAAGCCCGGGGGGAGCUGAAGUUCCCCAAAUGCUCGGUUGCCAUCACAACGGAAGAGAAUAUAACCUCUUUGUUACCAGGGCAGGCAAUUAUGUGAGUGUUCCUGGAAACCUAAGCCCUUUUGUGAGUUAGAGAUGAUGGAACAAUAACGAAAGAAAGACAAUCCUUUUAUCACCAGAAAAUAAGUGUUAGUUUUCAGACAACACUUCCGCAUCUCGAUGCCUGGGUGAUGUUUUUCAGUGACCAACACAGGACUUAGGAAAAGACGUCGUGUCAUGCUGUUCAAGGUCACUAAGAUCUGGCCUUGCCCCCAGGUGUCAGGGACUAGACUGGAGGAUGGCGUGAGUGUUUACCGCUAGCUACAUUCAAGAUCAGCACUCCAUUUCAUCAGGAAGACUCUCACCCUGGCUAACACGACCCAUUCUCAUUUCUCCCCUCUCCCUCUCCCCUCCCCCUUCUGCCUCUCUCCUCCCUCCCACUCCCCUCCCCCAACACAGUUUUUUCCCAGAUGCUCCAUGGUCCCCCAUGCAAACAGAUUAUUGGCAGGUACAACCCACCAUUCCUUAAGACUCAACUAAAUCCUGAGAGAAAAGGCCAUGUGAGGACAUAGAAGGAAAGUGGCCAACUCCAAGCCAGGAAGAAAGCCCUCACCAGAAAUUGAAUCAGCUGGCACCUUGAUCAUGGACUUCCAGCCUCCAGAACUGUGAGAAAAUAAAUAUCUGUUGUUUAAGUCACCCAGCCUGUGGUAUUUUGUUAAAGUAGCCUGAGCAGACUAAUACUCUUGCCAACCUUGUGUGGGGGACUGGAAUUGGCCACCCCAAGAUAUGUCUCUUUGGCAUGAGGAAUAUUUUGGGCUGGUUACUUUUGAAAACCUGCAGACAGGAAAGAAAC
This 2071-nucleotide long non-coding RNA is filed under the name Equus caballus (horse). Its description in RNAcentral is "lncRNA (ENSECAG00000049550.1)". Lineage: Eukaryota; Metazoa; Chordata; Mammalia; Perissodactyla; Equidae. The record is from RNAcentral.